AGCAGCCGCGGUAAUUCCAGCUCCAAUAGCGUAUAUUAAAGUUGUUGCAGUUAAAAAGCUCGUAGUUGAAUUUCGGGAUCAAUACGUCGGUCGUGCUUCGGUACGUACUGGCGUAAUUGAUUUCUCCCUUCUGACGAACCAUGAUGUCAUUAACUUGGUGUCAUGGGGAAUCAGGACUGUUACUUUGAAAAAAUUAGAGUGUUUAAAGCAGGCUCACGCUUGAAUACAUUAGCAUGGAAUAAUGAAAUAGGACGUUCGAUCCUAUUUUGUUGGUUUUUAGGAUCAACGUAAUGAUUAAUAGGGAUAGUUGGGGGCAUUAGUAUUCAAUUGUCAGAGGUGAAAUUCUUGGAUUUAUUGAAGACUAACUACUGCGAAAGCAUUUGCCAAGGAUGUUUUCAUUAAUCAAGAACGAAAGUUAGGGGAUCGAAGACGAUCAGAUACCGUCGUAGUCUUAACCAUAAACUAUGCCGACUAGGGAUCGGAUGAUGUUAAUUUUUUAAUGACUCAUUCGGCGCCUUACG
This 521-nucleotide ribosomal RNA is filed under the name uncultured Glomus. RNAcentral describes it as "SSU rRNA". It matches the Rfam family "Eukaryotic small subunit ribosomal RNA", at positions 569 to 1092 of the family's 1831-position model. Lineage: Eukaryota; Fungi; Glomeromycota; Glomeromycetes; Glomerales; Glomeraceae. The record is from RNAcentral.